GACGAACGCUGGCGGCGUGCUUAACACAUGCAAGUCGAACGGAGAUGCUCCAGCUUGCUGGCGUGGAUGAGUGGCGAACGGGGGAGUAACACGUGAGCAACCCGCCCCAGACUCUGGGAGAUGCGCUGGAAACGGCGUCUAAUACUGGAUACAAAACUUGCCCCCAUGGGGUUGGUUUGGGAAGUAUUUCUGUUUUGGAUGGGCUCGCGGCCUAUCAGCUUCUUUGUGAGGUAAUGGCUCACCAAGGCGACGACGGGUAGCCCGCCUGAGAGGGGGACCGGGCACACUGUGACUGAGACACGGCGCAGACUGCUACGGGAGGCAGCAGGGGGGAAUAUUGCGCAGUGGGCGAAAGCGAGUUGCAGCGGCGCCGCGUGAGUGAUGACGGGCUUCGGGUUGUAAACCUCUGUGAGCAGGGCAGAGGCGAAAGUGACGGUACCUACAGAAGAAGCACCGGCUAACUACGUG
RNAcentral lists this ribosomal RNA (468 nucleotides) under uncultured bacterium. RNAcentral describes it as "partial 16S ribosomal RNA". It matches the Rfam family "Bacterial small subunit ribosomal RNA", at positions 28 to 507 of the family's 1533-position model. The record is from RNAcentral.